Molecule: long non-coding RNA, 269 nt
Filed under: Hordeum vulgare
Lineage: Eukaryota; Viridiplantae; Streptophyta; Magnoliopsida; Poales; Poaceae
Description: long non-coding RNA (HVUL_LNC004898)
Source: RNAcentral
CUCCUAUUGUUGAUCCUAUGCAAGUUGAUGCUCCACCGUCCGGAUCUCCCCUACUAGUGCUGAUGUAGGUAAGAAGAAGCAUCCAUCUGUAAAUCUGCACCUCUACCUGCCUGCUACUCUGUUAACGAGAUGUAAUGCAUCUCUCUAUAAUGUUGCACCUCUGUCUGCUCCUCAGUACGUCUGCACCUCUGUUAACUGAGAUGUAAUGCAUCAAUCCUAUGUAAUGCGCAUAUAACUUUGAUGAAGAUCUACUGUUAAUCUGAAAGUUG